RNAcentral lists this microRNA precursor (165 nucleotides) under Amborella trichopoda. RNAcentral describes it as "miR8580 stem-loop (atr-MIR8580)". The record is from miRBase by way of RNAcentral. Lineage: Eukaryota; Viridiplantae; Streptophyta; Magnoliopsida; Amborellales; Amborellaceae.
UGGAAAUGAGGUUGCGAUAUUCUUCACCAUCCAUUUUACUUGGACUGUGUAGGUUUGAAUCGUUUUUUAAGACCGUUUCAAUGGAUGUCACGUCUUUUAAGAUAGUGUUCAAUCUACACUGUCUAAAUAGAAUGGAUGGUGUAGGUGACUGCAACCUUAUUUCUA